RNAcentral lists this ribosomal RNA (1445 nucleotides) under Virgibacillus sp. SSH70-L2. Its description in RNAcentral is "bacterial SSU rRNA". It matches the Rfam family "Bacterial small subunit ribosomal RNA". Lineage: Bacteria; Bacillati; Bacillota; Bacilli; Caryophanales; Bacillaceae. The record is from RNAcentral.
UCAGGACGAACGCUGGCGGCGUGCCUAAUACAUGCAAGUCGAGCGCGGGAAGCAAGCAAACACCCUUCGGGGUGUGCGCUUGUGGAACGAGCGGCGGACGGGUGAGUAACACGUGGGCAACCUGCCUGUAAGACUGGGAUAACCCCGGGAAACCGGGGCUAAUACCGGAUAAUACUUUCCAUUACCUGAUGGAAAGUUGAAAGGUGGCUUUAUGCUACCACUUACAGAUGGGCCCGCGGCGCAUUAGCUAGUUGGUGGGGUAACGGCCUACCAAGGCGACGAUGCGUAGCCGACCUGAGAGGGUGAUCGGCCACACUGGGACUGAGACACGGCCCAGACUCCUACGGGAGGCAGCAGUAGGGAAUCUUCCGCAAUGGACGAAAGUCUGACGGAGCAACGCCGCGUGAGUGAUGAAGGUCUUCGGAUCGUAAAACUCUGUUGUUAGGGAAGAACAAGUGCCGUUCGAAUAGGGCGGCACCUUGACGGUACCUAACCAGAAAGCCCCGGCUAACUACGUGCCAGCAGCCGCGGUAAUACGUAGGGGGCAAGCGUUGUCCGGAAUUAUUGGGCGUAAAGCGCGCGCAGGCGGUCCUUUAAGUCUGAUGUGAAAGCCCACGGCUUAACCGUGGAGGGUCAUUGGAAACUGGAGGACUUGAGUACAGAAGAGGAGAGUGGAAUUCCACGUGUAGCGGUGAAAUGCGUAGAGAUGUGGAGGAACACCAGUGGCGAAGGCGACUCUCUGGUCUGUAACUGACGCUGAGGCGCGAAAGCGUGGGGAGCGAACAGGAUUAGAUACCCUGGUAGUCCACGCCGUAAACGAUGAGUGCUAGGUGUUAGGGGGUUUCCGCCCCUUAGUGCUGAAGUUAACGCAUUAAGCACUCCGCCUGGGGAGUACGGCCGCAAGGCUGAAACUCAAAAGAAUUGACGGGGGCCCGCACAAGCGGUGGAGCAUGUGGUUUAAUUCGACGCAACGCGAAGAACCUUACCAGGUCUUGACAUCCUCUGCUACCGGUAGAGAUACCGGGUUCCCUUCGGGGACAGAGUGACAGGUGGUGCAUGGUUGUCGUCAGCUCGUGUCGUGAGAUGUUGGGUUAAGUCCCGCAACGAGCGCAACCCUUGAUCUUAGUUGCCAGCAUUUAGUUGGGCACUCUAAGGUGACUGCCGGUGACAAACCGGAGGAAGGUGGGGAUGACGUCAAAUCAUCAUGCCCCUUAUGACCUGGGCUACACACGUGCUACAAUGGAUGGAACAAAGGGAAGCAAAACCGCGAGGUCAAGCAAAUCCCAUAAAACCAUUCUCAGUUCGGAUUGCAGGCUGCAACUCGCCUGCAUGAAGCCGGAAUCGCUAGUAAUCGCGGAUCAGCAUGCCGCGGUGAAUACGUUCCCGGGCCUUGUACACACCGCCCGUCACACCACGAGAGUUGGUAACACCCGAAGUCGGUGAGG